GCGGAGAGCAGCAUCCUCCGGUCUGUAAGAGAACACUGUUAUUGGAUUUGAUAAUGAAAGCCGAGGUCGGGUUCCCUGAGUGUGGAGCAAACAACAAACGGCAAGAGGAGCCAGGGCAGAGGAGGGAGGCUGGAAGGGCCCUGCCCUGCUCUGCUGCUGCUGGAAUCGGAGCUGGCUCUGGCCAUGUCCCCCCUCCAGGGCCACACGGGACUCGGAAGGAACAAAGGGUCAGUUCUGCCCGGGCUGGAGCUGAUCUCGCUGGUGUUGGUGCUCAGAUAAUGGGAGCGGCCCAGGUGGAUGGAGUGAGGGAUGCUGAGCUACAGAAACCUCUUGGUGACAGAGCAGCACCUCGGGAAAGAGCUGGAGCUGCUGGAGCCCCUCUGGAGCCGGGAUGGGAGAGCAGGGAUGGGAGAGGCGGGAUGGGAGAGCAGGGAUGGGAGAGCCGGGAGAGCUGGGAUGGGAGAGGCGGGAUGGGAGAGCCGGGAUGGGAGAGCCGGGAUGGGAGAGCUGGGAUGGGAGAGCCGGGAUGGGAGAGCUGGGAUGGGAGAGCCGGGAUGGGAGAGCUGGGAUGGGAGAGCUGGGAUGGGAGAGCCGGGAUGGGAGAGCUGGGAUGGGAGAGCCGGGAGAGCCGGGAGAGCCGGGAUGGGAGAGCAGGGAUGGGAGAGCCGGGAUGGGAGAGCUGGGAUGGGAGAGCUGGGAUGGGAGAGCCGGGAUGGGAGAGCUGGGAUGGGAGAGCAGGGAGAGCUGGGAUGGGAGAGCAGGGAUGGGAGAGCCGGGCUGGGAGAGCCGGGAUGGGAGAGCUGGGAUGGGAGAGCCGGGAUGGGAGAGCCGGGAGAGCUGGGAGAGCCGGGAUGGGAGAGCCGGGAUGGGAGAGCUGGGAUGGGAGAGCCGGGAUGGGAGAGCUGGGAUGGGAGAGCCGGGCCGGGAGAGCCGGGAUGGGAGAGCCGGGCUGCUUCAGCUGCAGAGGAGAAGCUCCAGGGAGAGCUCAGAGCCCCCUCCAGGGCCUGAAGGGGCUCCAGGAGAGCUGGAGAGGGACAAGGGAUGGAGGGACAGGAGCCAGGGAAUGGCUGCCAGUGCCAGAGGGCAGGGCUGGAUGGGAUUUGGGCAGGAAUUGUUCCUGGCAGGGUGGGCAGGCCCUGGCACAGGUGCCCAGAGAAGCUGAAAAGUUCCAGCACAAAUUUAUUCACAAGGUUUGAACAGUUUCCCUUCAGAGCAGCACACGCUGUUUUCUCUCCAGGUGCUGGGCUGUGUUUUAUGGAUCAGCGACUCCUUCCCCAUGCUGGGGGCUGCUGGGGCUGGGGAGAAGCUGGGGGGAUGCUCAGCUCCUUUCUCAGGAUAAUCCCAAGGGUCCUGUCGGUUCCCUCUGCCGUUCCAAGGCUGAUUUCUCUGCCUAAUGGAUCCUCUUACACCUCCUUUGUCCGCUGAGGGGUUUGAUGGCUGUGAAAAUCCGAGCAGUGAAAUAUCCGGGAUUGGAUUAGCACUACAGGGGCUGCCUUCCAGUAAAGCCUGUGUCUCCUUUGCCAGCGAUCCUUUUACUCCACACCGGCACGGAGCAGCUCCUCUAAGUAGUUCCUUUGCACUUUGGCAUCUCUGAGUUAUUUGAUUAAUAAUACACUGGACUGUAUGCAACUUCUUGUCCACUGGGAAUUCUUAAAUAUCCUUCAUGUGGCAAGGUUUUCCAGCACAGUGCUCUGGAAGCAGCCACUCAGCGCGGGGACAGGCAGAAAACGCUUUGCCAAAAUGAAAAGGGAGACUCUGUUGGUGGCUUGACUUCAGCCUCUUUAGGUUUGAAAAAUGUAGUUCAGUGUUUCCGGGUGAAGUUUGAUGUUCUCUGCAAAAGAAACAAGCUGGUACGGCUGCACCAGCUCAAUGUCAUCAUGGAAUUUUUCAGUAAUGACGCUGCUAUUCCUGGAAAAUAAAUGGAGUCCUCAGCACCUUUGCUGUGGGUGA
RNAcentral lists this long non-coding RNA (1950 nucleotides) under Cyanistes caeruleus (blue tit). RNAcentral describes it as "lncRNA (ENSCCEG00000003800.1)". Lineage: Eukaryota; Metazoa; Chordata; Aves; Passeriformes; Paridae. The record is from RNAcentral.